RNAcentral lists this ribosomal RNA (460 nucleotides) under uncultured bacterium. RNAcentral describes it as "partial 16S ribosomal RNA". It matches the Rfam family "Bacterial small subunit ribosomal RNA", at positions 338 to 795 of the family's 1533-position model. The record is from RNAcentral.
CCUACGGGUGGCAGCAGUGAGGAAUAUUGGUCAAUGGGCGCGAGCCUGAAGCAGCCAAGUAGCGUGAAGGAUGACUGCCCUACGGGUUGUAAACUUCUUUUAUAAAGGAAUAAAGUGCGGCACGUGUGCCUUUUUGUAUGUACUUUAUGAAUAAGGAUCGGCUAACUCCUUGCCAGCAGCCGCGGUAAUACGGAGGGACCGAGCGUUAUCCGGAUUUAGUGGGUUUAAAGGGAGCGUAGAUGGGUUGUUAAGUCAGUUGUGAAAGUUUGCGGCUCAACCGUAAAAUUGCAAUUGAUACUGGCAGCCUUGAGUGCAGUUGAGGUAGGCGGAAUUCGUGGUGUAGCGGUGAAAUGCUUAGAUAUUACGAAGAACUCCGAUUGCGAAGGCAGCUUACUAAACUGCCACUGACAUUGAUGCUCGAAAGUGUGGGUAUCAAACAGGAUUAGAUACCCCAGUAGUC